AGGGAUUAGGGUUCGAUUCUGGAGAAGGAGCCUGAGAACGGCUACUACAUCUACGGAAGGAGCAGGCGCGUAAUUACCCAAUCCUGACUCAGGAGGUGGUGACAGAUAUAAUGACGCUAUGAAAAUAGUGAUUAUAGUGAGGGUAUUCCAACCGAACCACAAGUACGAUUAGAGGGCAAGUCUGGUGCCAGCAGCCGCGGUAUUCCAGCUCUAAUAGCGUAUAUUAAAGUUGCUGCAGUUAAAAGCUCGUAGUUUGUUUUCAAGGAACACGUAUUCCCCCGGAUGUGUACCCUACUAGCCAGUUCUGGCUGUUACUGUGAGAAAAUUAGAGUGUUUAAAGCAGCUCAUGCAGAUACAUUAGCAUGGAUACGAAGAGUCAGAAGACCAGCACCCAAACAAGAUCCGAUUAUAGAGACAGUUGGGGGCAUUAGUAUUUCACUCGUCAUUCUGUUGAUAUUCUUGGAUUUGUUAAAGACUAACGUAUGCGAAAGCAUCCGCCACGAUGUUUUCAUUAAUCAGACGAAAGAUAGGGGAUCAAGACAUCAGAUACUGUCGUAGUCUAUCUAUAACUAUGCGACUAGGGAUGGAAUGGAACAUCACCAUUUCAGUACUAUGAGAAUCAAGUCUUGGGUCUGGGGGGAGUAUGGUCGCAGACUGAACUAAGAAUGACGAGACCCAGAUGGGCUGCGCUAUGACUCACGGGACUACAGUCGACUAGAGAUGCAUGAGCUUCUGAUCUGGGGGGGCAUGG
Molecule: ribosomal RNA, 751 nt
Filed under: uncultured rumen protozoa
Lineage: Eukaryota
Description: bacterial SSU rRNA
Rfam family: Eukaryotic small subunit ribosomal RNA
Source: RNAcentral